CACACACACACACACACACCGCACACACGCACGCACACACGUAUGCAAACACACGCACGUACGCACGCACAGUACUUGCAUAUACUUCAGUGGCAAACACGCAAUUUCGGCACUUUUCACAGAGAAUCCACAGAAAAUAACGAUAGAUGCAAGAUAUAUUCCACCAUGAAACAUGUAUAAUUCCACCAUAAAGAGUGAACGAUACACGAAAUGAUGUGUGUACGUGUAUGUAAUUUAAGUUACAUAAAUUCGUGCGAUGAUCGACUUCUAACACAAUUGCAUAUUAGGCGGAGUGGGAUCAGCAAGAAUCAAUCUGUGCAGACACAUAUAGUAGUUCAAAGGAGAGUUGUAAAUCAGAAUGGCAAGGAAAAGUCUUAAAAAAAUUGUUCAAUGGCGCAGAUGGUAUGAUAUUGUGAUCUAUACAAGUUACAAAUCAUAAAGCAUCCACAAGUAGUAGAUAUUUAAGGUAAAUAUAUACAUAGACACACAUACACAUAUACACUUACAUACAUACAUACACACAUACAUCCCUCUAUGAUGUGACUAGAGAAAGGAGACAUUGUCUUAGUAAAUGCAUAUGCGCAAUAGCGUGUGCAAAACACAAAUGUGUAAUUGACAAGUGGGGACAACUACAAACGUACCUAACUAAAAGAAAAAAAACGCAGAGAAUGAGAGAAAAAACAGAUAUAAAGAAAACAGAAAUGAAGAUACCGUCUGAUACAUGUAAGAAUAAGCAAAGUAAUAUAAAAUAAAUGAAAGAAGAAAAAAACAUGAUGCUCCUGCCACGCAGCGAGUCUUUAGACAGCUUUAAGAGAAUAAUUAUAAAUAAUAAAACAAUUAUUAAAUAAUUACAAUGAACUUUCUAUAUGUUGAAUCGUGUCUAGUGAGAGAAGUACUAUCGAAGUAAAGCAACACAAAAAAAUUAAUACUACUAUUGCCACACAUAAAUUAAUGCAUUUUAUAUGAACCACAUUGAUUAGUUAUCUCUUUCGAAUGUUCUUUUGUUUUUGCUUUCCUUUUCUUUUUAAUUUUCUUUGGUAAUAUACAUAAACAGAAAGAGUGGUUGUUACAGAGUAGCUUUUGGUGUUUCGUUUGCUGUUUUAUGAAUGAACGUUGCGCGGUUGGUGAAUGAAGGACCUCUUUGCCAGAAUGUUGAAAGUGUCUGCAAAGAGGCAUUGGAGUUUCAUUUACUUGGGUUUUCUAUAUAUUCGAUGAAGUUACACACACCGUCACUGUUAUCCAUUGUCACGCGCUAUUAUUGUCACGUAGAUUUUUCAUAGAUAUGAUACGUAGCGGGCGACAAUUAUGUGUAGCGAUAACACCGACAUUUGCGCCAUAAACAGGAUGCGAUCUACGUCUUUUGUUGCAGGACGACUCGUCAAUCGCGAUAUAAUCUUUCUCGCUGCGCGAAGUUAUGGUUCAUAAAAGGAAAAAAAAGUUAAGAAUGAAAAACCGCAUUGUUGUUGCGAUUAUUCUUAUUCUUAUUGUCAUUAUUAUUAUUAAUAUUACGAUUAUAUUGUCAUUAUUCUUAAUAUUAUGAUUAUUCUUAUAUUACCACUACGAUUAACUAUUAAUACUUAUUAUUAUCAAAGCGUUAGUUGUGUACUGGUGUCAUUAAUAGCGAAAAUUAUAUUGAAUCGGCCCGUUGAAACCGGCUGAUCUUUUUUCUUUCUUUUUUUUUUUUAGCAUUUAUUAUGACAAUGAUCAAUUGAGUUUGUGAAUUCAGUAGCUUUUUUCCGUUCAUCUCCCUAUUCCUAUUCUCAAUUUCGAUUUCAGUCAAAUCUCUCCUGUCUCUUCUCGUCUGUAUUAAAGUACACUUUCCUCCCCUCUCUUUGGACUUGCAUUUCGUUCAUUUUGAGUGAUCCGAAACUCGAGUUUGGAGUUGUGUUAUUUUAAAAGGCGAAACGAGACAACAGAAGCGAACCGAAAAGGAGAGAGAAAGAAAGAAGGAGAAAAACUGAAAAAGACAGAGAGAGAGAGAGAGAAAAGAGAUGGGAGAUCACAUGGCGCCAUCAGAAUUUUGACAGCAUUAAAUUAGAUGUUACUUAUUGUUAGAUUCAGCGAUUGAGCGGAUUGAGCAGAGUUAAUUAUCUUUCCGCGCGUUGCGUUUUCCUUUUUUUUUUUCCUCCUAGCGCGCUCUCGCGUGUAUGCAUGCGUGCGUGAAUGCUAAAUUCGUGUACAUGUGUAAGCUCGACAAUCGAAAACGAGCGAGCUACUCUUUGUAAGGCGAGACAAGAUAUUGAGAAAAAGGAAAGCCAAUCGCAAGGACGAUGCGCCGUUGAGCACGUUAAUACUGCGAUCCUCAGAGGAAAUUAUAUCGCAGGAGUAAUACGUGUCCUUGCGAAUUAUUACAUUUAAAUCAAUAGGUUAUGAGAAUCAAAGUUUGUUGUUGCAGAAAACAAUGAGAAUUGCUGCGAUUGGCCUUUGUAUGUCAUUUGAUUUAUUAAAGAUAACAAUCUGUUGCAAA
Long non-coding RNA from Wasmannia auropunctata (little fire ant), 2467 nucleotides. RefSeq lists it as uncharacterized. The transcript has 2 exons. The record is from RefSeq and is a predicted model, not a curated record. NCBI's taxonomy places the organism in Eukaryota, Metazoa, Arthropoda, Insecta, Hymenoptera, Formicidae.